AGCGCCGUGAGGGGACAGCGCCGUGAGGGGACAGCGCCGUGAGGGGACAGCGUGUGCCACCGAGGGCUUGUCAGAGUCUCGGAAUCGUUUAGGCUGGAAAAGGCCUCCGAGAUCACCGAGUCCAACUUAACGACCCAACGCCACUGUGUCCAGCAGACCAUGACACCGGGUGCUACAUGCAGUCUUUUCCUGGAGUCUCCUCCAGGGCCGGUGGCUCCAUCACCUCCCUGGGCAGGCCAUUCCAAUGUUUAGUCACCCUUUCAGUGAAAAAAUUACUCCUAAUAUCCACCUUACUCCUCAGUGAUGCAACAGAAGGCCAUUUCCUCUCACCUUAUCAAUUAUUCCCUGUUAUCAGAGCCCGAUGCCAGUGUGGCUCCAGCCUCCUGUCAGGCAGUCUCAGAGAGCGAUAAUGUCCCCCCCGAGCCUCUUUUUCUCAGACUAAACCCCCCCAACUCCCUCAGCUGCUCCUCAUCAGACUGGAGCUUCUUUCAGAAGAAAGACAAGCAUCAAGUUGUACAGCAAUUCUUGCUGCCAUAAGGGAAUAUGGCAUCUCUUCCAACAGUAAGCCUUGUAGUUAAGCCACACCAAAAUGUUUGUGCUGGGACACAAGGGUCAUGCUCUUCAAGAAUUGAAAAGUCCUUCCAAAGUUCCCGGUAGUCCCUUGGACUAAAGUGGUAAAAAGAAAACCACCAAAAUGCAAACUCUGUGCAGGGCAAAGGACUUGUUUAUCUCUAAGAUUCUGUUACACUUUGUCCUUUAAUCUUUCCUAGGUGAGGCAGACGCCACAGGUAUUCAGGAGCAGCCUGAAUGUGAUUCAGCAAGAACAUCUUGCAUGGAAGGAGCAACGGGAAGGGAGGCACAAGGAAAAGAUGAAGGAGCAAGGCUGACAUCACCAGCGCUGAUAUGUGUCUGAAAGACAGGAGGCUUCCCAUCUUCCAAAUAAUUUGUGAGAAGAUGUACUUUUGAGUGACAGGUUGAAAACUGUAUCUGAAUAUGAUAAUGAGGCUUUUGAGAAAGGAGUUGCUGAUCCAAAACUACAACACAACCCAGCUGUGGACAAACAAGAGGAGAAUGAGAAAAGGGCAAGGGUUAUUAAGGUGGAUAAUUGGGAACAUGGCAAUGAUGGUAGGGAUUUCUUGGUUGAUCCCAGCUUCUGGGAUUGGCUGAGCAUGGAAGGAAAAUCCAAAUGCCUUUCUCAUGGACAUAAAUCAGAUCUUCAGAUUGUUUUCCUUUUAUACCAUAAUUUUACAUCCUCAGAUUCAUUUCUAAAAUCAAUUAAUUCCGUAAGUAAUCACUUUUUCAUGAACUACAUGUAAAUUUCACACUCAGCUUGCUAACUAGAUUUUCCUCUCAUCUGGGAAAUCAAUUUUUAAGAGAGUUAUUUUAUUUACAUUGAAUAAUUGGUUGUAUUUGGUACACAGAUAACUGGUAAUUAAUAACUGUAUUGAUACUGGAUAUUCAUUGCCAUUUGUUCUAGCAAGUUGUUAGACCAUUAGGCUGCAUGAUAUUUUCUUAAUGUGACCCAAUUUAAUUUGAACAUUAAAAGGUGUGUGACAUCUUUAUGACCUGUAAAGUUAUAUGUUUGGCAGGGAUACAUUUUCAGAAGGCAAAUUUAAUUUCAUUACACAAUUUGUAUCCAAACAUUGUGCUCCUUUUUAUCUACAACCAGUUUGUAGCAAGAAUGGCGCUGGUGGUGCACACAAAUGAAGUACUCAAAUAUCCACAUUAGCUGCAUUUUAUAAUUACAAAUUAAAUGUAAUUGUCAUUUUAAAAACCACAUUUUCAGAGCAAUCUCCAGUCCUGCCACAAAAAAAUUCUCACUUCUCACAGGUUCUUCCGUAGGAAAAAUGGUGGCAAGAGUUCCUGCUGGACUUUCAUCAGUCCAGAAGUAUUUGUAUUCACAAAGUAAGUGCUUGAUGAAACUACAAAAGAGUUUGCUGGCUAUUUAUCAGAAUUUGCAACUUACUGCUGGGUUAUUGUGUUGAAAUAAUGUGUAAAGUCUUUUUUUCUGCAGAAGAAAAUAGAAGGCAGCACAACUUUGUGACCAGCCCUGAUGUCCCUACUAUUGUGGUCAACACUUGAUUCAAUGUUGAAUUUUUCUGAUGGCAAUUUUCUGUUCCCCAUUGAGCAAAUAUUCAAAUAAUCUGAUUUAUUUCCUUUUGGUCAACUGAUCUAAUUUCCUUUCUGACUUGAAUUCCUGUCCUGGAGACUUGCCAAACAAUGACUCUCAUGAAUGAAACGAGUCAUGCCUUUGAGAUUCCUGUGGAACAUCAAACUGGCACACCACAGUAAUUACAGCUUAGCUAUUUCUGAUACUGUUAUUAAAAAUGACUUGAACUUUAGAAGGAAGGACUACUGCAAUUAAAUGUCACAACAAGAGUAAUUCGAAUCUUCCAGGAUCUCUAUGAUUUGUCAGAUUCUAGGCAAUUUUCUCUUUAUCCAUCUUUAUCUCUACCUGCUGUGGGAUAUUUACAGACACUACCAUGAGUCCCAGUUCUCAUAGUGCACUUUUUCAGAUGUAUUUUGGGUUCUUUUUGAAACUCUCUUAAUGAGUACCCGUGACAGAAGUGGGGAGAGCUGUCAGAUCCCAGAAAAGCUGCUGGCUGUGUGUGUGCCAGGUGCCCAUGGCAGGUUCUCACAGUGCAAUUCACAUUUUCAGCCCAGCUAUGGAACACACUGAAGGCCUGAACUAGGUCCUUGGAUAUAGGUUUGAAAACAUGUUUAGCUAAUCACAAAUACUCCUGCACAUACUUAUUUCCACAAAAUAUACACAAUUUCCUAGUGUAGAAAUGAAAUCUACUCCAACAUAAAUUUUAAAUUGCUAUCUGGUUUUUAGCACUAAAUGAGGACAUAAGAAACUUUUUCUUAAGAAGUGAAAUAUUCCACAUUCUAUCCUUUUGAAACUGUGUUUUCAAACUGUGUCAAAAUGAUCAAGAACUGGAUUCUUCUUUAAACAUAAUAGGAAGGCCUUAUUGUAUUAGCAGAUUACAGUCAUUGUGUUAGUAUACUAUCUACCUUGUAUUCAUUUUUGCUAACUUAAUGAGAAAUUUUUCUAGCAUGGUUAUAUUUUAAUACAAUAAAGUAGUGUUGGAAAGGAAAAUUAGUAUGAUUUUAAAGAGAGAUGUAAAGACAAUAAAAUAGCCUCUGAGUUUUCUAAACUUUUAAUUUGAUGCUAACUUAAAAUAUACUUUUUAUCAAUCCUCUGAAAUAAUUAUAGUCAAAUGGAGUUUUAAAGUCAGUUAAAAGGUUUACAGAUGGCUUUUUUCCCACAUACUCUGCUAUAUAAGAUCUAAGAAAGUCUGCCCAGAUGUUUCUAAAUUUUCUUAUUUUAGAGGAGUACAUCUAUAAUAGAGAAGAUUAUUGUAGCAUCAAGCCCUGAGCUUUAAUGAGAAUAUUUCAUGGCACCAUUUACAAUGCCCUUGUUCCUCCGAGGUUUGCAUUUUGAUGAAAAUUCUGACUAUAGAAUCAGAAAGAAAUGUCUGUGGUUUUAAACAUCAGCAGGCCAUGAACAAGCUGCUUUCUCUACUCUUUAAAAAAGGCAUUUCUAAAGCACUAACACACAGUGGGUAUUCAAGGAGGAAGUAAGACCUGUUCAAAAUUCCAGAUUGAAGUUGGAAGAUCUGUGCUCAGUUCCCAUUCUUGGCACAGAAUUCCUGUGAGGAAUAAACAAGGUAUUUUCAACUUCAGUGCCUCACAGAUGGAACAGUUCUCAUCACCCUUGUCUGCUGUGAAGGUUUUGAGCCCAUUUGGACUCCAGGGCAUCAACAGAGUCUGGCCAGGGCUGCACUGGAUUUCAGAGGGUCAAGCCAAGGAACAAAUAACAAUUACACAAAUUAAUCUUGCAGUCUAGGUCUGACAAAAAAGUGCAAGGGCUUCAAGGUGCUAAUGAUCUGGAUUCUCUGGAAUAAGUUUUUUCAGAAGGCAAAAGUAUCAGUGAACUUGGAGAUGUACCCAAACCAAACUGAACCUGGCUGAACUGGAUCCCAGCAGGGGCAGGCAGUGAGGGUGUGAAGUUCACUUCUGUUGUGCCACAGCAUUUAUUCAUCCCUUUGGGCUUCCCUUGGGGUGUGGGGACUGUUGUGUUUUCUCACCUGACCCCUCUGCUGUUGCAUUUGUUAUUUUGAGUGCAGGAUAUGUUUUAUGGAACCUGAAGUCAUGCAAUUCAUUACAAUGUGAGGUUUUUCACCUAUUAUUUGACAAAUUUCAUUGAUCCACAUAUAUCAAUCCCAAUUUUGUUGUAAUGAAUACAAAAUCUUUAUGCUGGGUUGGGAUCUUGGAUGCAUUUCUCUGGAGUAGAAGAGAAAAACCCUUCUGCCAUACCAGCAAAUGGAGUAGCACCUGAGUUUUUUACACAAAAAGAGUCAGAAAGCAGUUUUCUUAACCUCUCAAAGAAUUUUGCUUUGAGUAUUAAUGGAUGUUGUUUAGAAGUACAAUAGGGAGUCUUACAGCUCAUGUGGCACUCAGAUACGGAGCUAGGGCAUGGUACUUAACCUCUCCUUGGUUUAGUUUGUGAAACAAACAACACUAUUUUAACUACUUUUCAAGGAUAUUAGAUAAAAUUAAUUAGUUUUGUAUUUGUACUGCAAUAAAGGUCUAUAUAAUUGGAAAGUCUUAUAAGAAUCUAAAUCAAUUUAUUUUUAUGUUGAUUUAACUUUGAAGGGCUAUUUUUGUUACUUUGUACUGUAUUUGAAGUGUGCUAUUGUUUCAUUUUUAUAAAUAACAGCUGAUUUUUCAAGCUCCUGUAAGGAACCUAUUUAGUCUCUGUGUAUGCCAAUGCCCUCUACUGGUUUGAAACACAAUCGCUCAACAGAGGGUAUUGCUCUUCUCCUUUAUUGAGAAAACUAUAAUAUUUAAAUUAUUUUCCUUUUAAGAGCAGUAGAGUUUAAUAUUUAAAUUAUUUUCCUUUUGAGAGCAGUAGAAUUUUGGUUGUGUAGCCAGGCUUUCUGUGAAGUACAAGAAGCUGCACCAUGAACAAGCUGACACUUGGGUGACUCUUGUGCUACACGUGUGAUUCUGUGCCAGUAUUUUCACGGCCUUCUGUGUUUUUGUUUCACUGGAUUUGCUGUUCUGGCUCAUAGGUAGCAAUCCUGAGAGGGAGGAGGACACACACCUGAGACUUGCUCAGUACAGAGCUGCCGUGUAGAUGUUCCCUCAACACAAUGGCCACCACUCCAAGGAGCCUCUCUGCUCUCCAUCCUGGUCCAGAGCCUUCCAAAAGUGAGGGGUGGUUGUGUUGACAGGCUGUGAUAUAAACAACCCUCGAGGCACAGGAGCUGCAGAGGUAAUGAAGUGCCUUGAGGAAAAAGUCUUAACUAUCAAGGGAUGGAUCCACUCCCCCCUGCCACAAACCAGGGGUCACGUGGCUGGGAAUGUGUAUCCACAGAUAGUGCUACCUUCAGAGAACUCUACUUACAGGUAAGUAACUCUUCUUUAAAGGAGGUAUCUUUGUGUGGCAGACUGUUUAUGGGAGCAAUUUGAAUUGAACUUUAAAUGAAAAAGGCAUAUCUCUGUAAGUGGUAAUAAUUUUAGUCAUCUCGCUGUGGCUAGGGGUUGUGGAAUUCAUUAGCACAGAUUAACAUAUAAAGUGGGUGAGAUAUCUAAUAGCAAACGUAGAGGUUUAGGGACCUUAAUUCAUCACUGAAUGAACAGCGUGUACAGUAUUAGGGACUAUGAAAUUUUUAAUUUACACAAAGUGUCCAAGAAUAUAGGGAAUAAAUUUAAACCCAAAACAGAUAAUGGAGCUGUGCCCUGCCUAGCUGGCAAGUUGAAUUGUUUUUACACUGAGUGAAGAAAGCUAAUUAUCCCAAGCACAAGGAGACUGCUAAAAAUAAUAAGAUUAUAAAGAAUAAUUUGCUGAUAUAAUUACAACAAAAUUGGGUACACACAAUCGUCAGAUACAUGUAUUGCUUGACCUGGGCGAGAAAGUGAAAUAAAUCCUUCCUCUAUAGCCUUCGUAAAUUUGUUUUUAUCAUCUCCAAGUGGUGUUUGCACAGGCAGCACAAUUUGCAUGUGUAAUGUGGCUGUACAAAUUGACAACAAGUAAAUUAUUCAAGGAAAUAGGCUGGUCGUGGGUCUGAACUAUCUCGCAAAGCCUAUUCAUUUUGAAGAAUCACUGAGACGUGAAGCUCAUACAUCAACCAUUUUCUGACAAUCCUCAGACUUAUUGUCUCCUAAAAUGUCAUUAUGGCUAUUAUUUAUGAAGCUAAUUCAUUUAUUAAUAUAUAUUUAACUCUGACUUGUCAUGCACCUUAGCAGGCAUUCUGUGCACUGCAUAUUUUUGAAUAGAUGAAAGAGUUUUGCAUGCUUUAAUGAUUACUGUAAGCUGCUAUAGAUUUAUAGAAUGCAGCUUUAUUAUCUACUUGCAUUAAUACCUUUUUGUAACUUUUUUUUUCCUUAAGGCCAUCAAAUAUAAAUGGCAAAUGACAUAUCCAAAAGAUUGUAUAAAAAAAGAGAUUUUCUCAGAGUUUGUUGAAUUUUAGAAUAAAAUGAGGUAGCUAACUGUUAAGGCCUAACUAGUUUCUAAGAAUCUACAAUAAUUAUGCUGAUUUUUUGUGUAUUUUUCUGAAAAACAUGGAAUAAAUGAUAUAAAUUUAGAUGUUUACUGUAUUUUUCUCUUUGAGGACAAGUGGCCAUCUUUUGAUUAUGCCAACAGAGGGGGGGAAAUGUAGCAGAUGGAAAAUAGAUCUGUUCUGCUAUAGUAUACAUAUAAUAUAGAUAAUUUCUCUCAUAUAGAACACUCGUUAGGAAAUGAACAGCACAUACAGUAUGGAUUAUGAGGUUGCCUAUGGUUCUUGGAUUUUUUCAUCUUGAUUCACUUAUCUUUAGGGCAUAUUAAAAGACCUAGGGAUCACAGUAACCCUUUCCUGGCAUCUACACAAUGUCAAGAAACUAAAAAUGGAAAUCUGCUGUGAGAAACAUAUUUGAGGGCCCUAUGAUCACAGUUUCAGGAGGUUUCUGGCCUGAUUUGGAAGUUUUGAGCUCCUGCUUGUGAGGCUGAUAUCACCCACGGGUUUGGUAGGUCACUUGGUCCUGCUCCCUCAAUCUGUAAGAUGAAGAUGAAGUUUUCCUUGUUUCCUGAUGGCGCACAGAAAUAACACGUAGGGGUAAAUGCAUUCUCUGGGUAGAGUUGUUCUUUAGUAUUAAAAUUAGGAAUUGUCAUAUUUUUCACCUGCUCCCAGGAUGUGCCAGGUAGUAAAAGCCAUGGGAUUAUGUUACACCAUGGGAUGGACAGUCUGUGACCAAGGAGGAAUUUCAUACUCUAUCCUUACUUUUCCAUCUUACAGAGCAGGGCUCUUCAUGGCCAGAGGUAUUUUACCUGAGCAGAAGAAGAGAUGAAAGUUUUCAAGGUCAAGACAAGGAGUCUUUGCAUAACAAAGAAUUACCAAGCCUGUAGGUAGCAUGAAGGUCAUUUAAAGCUAAAUUUAUAGUGGUAAAUACUAUAGAUCUUCAUACUGGAAAACUUAUUAUUUUGAAUUCUUCAUCUUCUUUAGAAUGUGAAUAAGAAAACAAAAAAGUUAAAGAGGAGCAAACUUAAGUGACUGAAAUAAGUGAAAAUCCAACUCAAUCCAGACAAGGGCAAAGAAAGUCAUGUGGUUCUGAGUAUGUGUGGUGAAUAAAUAAGGCUUUUUCAUGUCUGGAUGUCAGUAAGAAUAAUAACUUUCAGUGCUUUGGAAAUAGAAGCUUAUGUUUUCUAAAGUAUUCUGGUACUUGCAAUUUCAGGUGCCUGCCUUGAGACAUCUUAGAAAGUAAACCCAGACUUGUAGAAUACUGUUUUUAAAUGGAACCUUGUCAGGUGAUCUAAAUUUGCCCUAUGGUACCUCCAAAUGUUUUAAAAUUGAAAAAAAAACAAACUACAUUAUUGAGCCUUUGGAGCAUAGAUAUAUUUUGCCACUUCAAAAACUCCCAGUACAAAUAUUGGUUGGUCUUCCAGACAGACAUCCAUCAUUCAGUAAUCAAUGCCUUUAUAGUUUUUGAUCUUGAUGACCAGUUUCACUAAGAGAAGAGAUUCACAAGCUCUCUGAAGGCUUGUUGACUGCAGCCAGUUAGAGACUGAAAUUAAUGCUAUUACUGAAUCAGUGUGGAAGACUGAUUUCUAGCAUAUUUUCUGUUUAUAUUUAAUAAAAAUAUUUAAAUAAUCUCAGAAUGGCAUGUUAAAGGAGAAAAUUCAUUGUGUUUCCUUGUUAUAUCACAAUGUUAGAGACAUCCCACUUACAUUUUUUACAAAUAAAAAAAUAAAUAAAGAUGAGAUUGACUGAA
Long non-coding RNA from Passer domesticus (house sparrow), 8256 nucleotides. RefSeq lists it as uncharacterized. The record is from RefSeq and is a predicted model, not a curated record. NCBI's taxonomy places the organism in Eukaryota, Metazoa, Chordata, Aves, Passeriformes, Passeridae. The transcript is spliced from 2 exons.